AUGGGAUGAGGGAUGAUUGGAAAAGUGAGAAAUGAGCUCUUAUUUAUAGGUGAGGCAAGGGAACUAGUUUGCUAAAAAUAGGAGUGUCCAUCUUUUGAAACUUCGUCCAAGAGUGGUCGGCCAUGAAUUGAGAAAAGGUGGCUGAUUUUUCCUUGAUUUUUGGUCAAUUUGAGUGCCACAACAACUCAAGAUUAAGACUCGAU
RNAcentral lists this long non-coding RNA (203 nucleotides) under Gossypium raimondii (Peruvian cotton). RNAcentral's name for it is "long non-coding RNA (GRAI_LNC010635)". The record is from RNAcentral. Lineage: Eukaryota; Viridiplantae; Streptophyta; Magnoliopsida; Malvales; Malvaceae.